RNAcentral lists this ribosomal RNA (505 nucleotides) under uncultured bacterium. RNAcentral describes it as "partial 16S ribosomal RNA". It matches the Rfam family "Bacterial small subunit ribosomal RNA", at positions 29 to 523 of the family's 1533-position model. The record is from RNAcentral.
AUUGAACGCUGGCGGCAGGCCUAACACAUGCAAGUCGGACGGUAGCACAGAGAGCUUGCUCUUGGGUGACGAGUGGCGGACGGGUGAGUAAUGUCUGGGGAACGUGCCGAGGAGUGGGGGAUAACGCAGCGAAAGUUGUGCUAAUACCGCAUACGUACUGAGGUAGAAAGUGGGGGACCUUCGGGCCUCACGCUGUUCGAGCGGCCGACGUCUGAUUAGCUGGUAGGUGAGGUAAAGGCGAACCUAGGCGACGAUCAGUAGCGGGUUUGAGAGGAUGAUCCGCCACACUGGGACUGAGACACGGCCCAGACUCCUACGGGAGGCAGCAGUGGGGAAUUUUGGACAAUGGGCGAAAGCCUGAUCCAGCCAUGCCGCGUGUCUGAAGAAGGCCUUCGGGUUGUAAAGGACUUUUGUCAGGGAGGAAAUCCCUAGUGCUAAUAACACUGGGGGAUGACAGUACCUGAAGAAUAAGCACCGGCUAACUACGUGCCAGCAGCCGCAGUAA